GAUGAACGCUGGCGGCGUGCCUAAUACAUGCAGGUCGAGCGAACAGACGAGGAGCUUGCUCCUCUGACGUUAGCGGCGGACGUGUGAGUAACACGUGGAUAACCUACCUAUAAGACUGGGAUAACUUCGGGAAACCGGUGCUAAUACCGGAUAAUAUAUUCAACCGCAUGGUUCAAUAGUGAAAGACGGUUUUGCUGUCACUUAUAGAUGGAUCCGCGCCGCAUUAGCUAGUUGGUAAGGUAACGGCUUACCAAGGCGACGAUGCGUAGCCGACCUGAGAGGGUGAUCCGCCACACUGGAACUGAGACACGGUCCAGACUCCUACGGGAGGCAGCAGUAGGGAAUCUUCCGCAAUGGGCGAAAGCCUGACGGAGCAACGCCGCGUGAGUGAUGAAGGUCUUCGGAUCGUAAAACUCUGUUAUUAGGGAAGAACAAAUGUGUAAGUAACUAUGCACGUCUUGACGGUACCUAAUCAGAAAGCAACGGCUAACUACGUG
RNAcentral lists this ribosomal RNA (497 nucleotides) under uncultured bacterium. RNAcentral's name for it is "partial 16S ribosomal RNA". It matches the Rfam family "Bacterial small subunit ribosomal RNA", at positions 28 to 507 of the family's 1533-position model. The record is from RNAcentral.